AUGGUGCGAGGAUCAUAUAUAGAGCCCCUUGUUCCGUCUACUAGUAUGCAGUACAUGCGCGCGACUCUCGCCCUUCCUCACAUGGAGCCGUUCACGAUGCCAUACUACCACUUCGGCCUAUGCCUCUUCUUGGCUCUCCUCUACCACGCCGUCCUACGCGCUCUUUCUGCCGCCGCCAAGCAGCCCCGGCCGAGGCUGCCUCCCGGCCCGUGGCAGCUUCCGAUCAUCGGCAGCCUGCACCACCUGCUGCGCGGGCUCCCACACCGCACCAUGCGCGACCUCUCCCUCCGCCACGGCCCGCUCAUGCUGCUCCGGCUGUGCGAGCGCGUGGCCAUCGUCGUCUCCUCAGCCGAGGCCGCGAGGGAGAUCUACAAGGGCAACGAGGCCGCCUUCUCGGAGCGCCUAAGCAGCCCGGGCAUCGACGAGUUCUCCAGGCAUGGCCAGGGGAUCGUCUUCGCGCCCUACAGCGACCACUGGCGCCUGCUCCGCCGGAUCCUCAUGACGGAGCUGCUCAGCGCGCGGCGCGUCGAGGCGUUCCGGCAGAUCCGCGAGGAGGAGGCGGGCCGCCUCGUCUCGACGAUUCAGGCGACGUCCGACGGCCGGCUCGUGAACGUCGACGAGAGGCUCGACGAGUUCAUGACAGACUCGGCCGUGCGCGCCAUCUUCGGGGACAGGCUGCCCGACAGAGCCGCGUUCCUGAAGAUCGUCAAGCAAGGAGUGGGUCUGUCGUCGCUGUUCGACCUCCGGGAUCUCUUCCCGUCGUCGCGGCUGAUUCGGCUUCUGCCGCGCAGCGGCAAGGCAGAGCGGCACCGUCAAGAGAUGUUCAAGAUCAUGGACAACAUCCUUAGGAGUCACGAGGAGAGAAGGGCAGCCAGAGAUGGAGACGACGAACAGGACAUGGUUGACGUGUUGCUGAGGAUCCAGAAAGAAGGCAACAUGCGAGUUUCCCUAACCGACGGAGUCAUAAGGGCACUGCUCAUAGAUGUCUUCGGUGCGGCACUUGACACCACAACUACUAUUCUACAAUGGGCGAUGGCUGAACUAAUGACAAACCCAAGAGUCAUGCAGCGGGUGCAAUCCGAGGCAGAUUAUGUUCUAGCAGGACAUGCCACAGUACAAGAGGCCUCACUAAAAAGCAUGCAAUACCUCCAGGUGGUUAUUAAAGAGACCUUGCGACUACACCCUCCUGCCUCGCUCUUCCCUAGAGUGUGUGUGCAAGACAGCAAGAUUCAAGGAUACGACGUACCACGAGGGGCUACUACGCUAACCAACACAUGGGCAAUCUCUAGGGACCCGAAGUACUGGAAUGAGCCUGAAAAGUUCAUGCCAGAGAGAUUUGAAUGUGAUGGUGUUGCGGACUUCAGAGGUUUGGACUUUGAGUUCACUCCUUUUGGUGUUGGGAGGAGGAUUUGCCCUGGGAUUGAUUUUGCAUAUGCAAACAUUGAGAUUGCAUUAGCUAGCCUAAUUUACCAUUUUAACUGGGAGCUUCCUCCCAGAGUGGACCCAAAGGAAAUAGACAUGACAGAGAUGUUUGGAGCAACUGUUCGAAGGAAGGCUGAGCUAUUUCUGCGUCCCAUUCCUCGUGUCCCCCUCUAG
This 1596-nucleotide ribosomal RNA is filed under the name Triticum aestivum (bread wheat). Its description in RNAcentral is "partial small subunit ribosomal RNA". The record is from RNAcentral. Lineage: Eukaryota; Viridiplantae; Streptophyta; Magnoliopsida; Poales; Poaceae.